Long non-coding RNA from Helianthus annuus (common sunflower), 849 nucleotides. RefSeq lists it as uncharacterized. The record is from RefSeq and is a predicted model, not a curated record. Lineage: Eukaryota; Viridiplantae; Streptophyta; Magnoliopsida; Asterales; Asteraceae. The transcript has 3 exons.
AGAUAGUUACCUUUCAGAAAAUUCUAAUGAUAGGCGAAAUGUCUAUGUUUUAUUCUUCUGAAGGUGGGAGAAAAGAUAAAACUAAAAUAAACCGGAUUUUAAAUCCAAACUUAAGAUUUAAGUUUGAAACUCAUUUUAUUAACUUCUUUUCGUUAACCCGAAAAAAUGGGAUAGAUCUACGAGAAAUCUUAUUAAGUUAGAUAUGGUAGAUUUAAAUGGGAUACAAAAAGAGUUGACUGGCGAGCCGUAUGAGGUAGGAAACUCUCAAGUACGGUUCUAAGGGAAGGAAUUAACCCACCUAUUCCGACCGAGGAGAACAGGCCAUUCGCCAGGGGGGUUCUGAAAUUGCGGAGGCUUGGUUCGACCAAGCCGAACAACAACUAGAAUUAGAGGUGCCGAAUUUGCAAAAAUGAUGAAAGUUAUUAAUAAACAAGUAAAACACAAAACACACACUCUAGGUGUGUUCUGUGGAUCGACCAGGAGCAAAGAACCAAGAAGAAACCCUUGUUCAAAAUUCUCAAAAUUAGAAGGGUUUAAGAAGCCAACUCAGAUGCAUGAACUCAAAAUCUUAAUCAUCUAAGCUUGUUCAUCAAAGUGGCGGUACCUCACUGCCCGACUAGCGCCUAGCGCCUUCUACAACAUUGUGUAUAGGUGUAAAGGAAGAAAGUUCAAGUCAAGCAAAGCAACAAGGGAAUCAAGAUCGAGGUAAAACUCAAGUCUAAAUGGUCAAGCUUCGCUCGAAUCGAACACAUUUCGAAUGCCCUCCAUGCACUUCUGCAACUUUUGAAAUAAUGUUAACGGGUCAAAAAUACUUUUGUUAAAUAGCUUAUGUUUGGUAGUUAAACUUUA